GCUGCGGAGGUGGCGUCCGGGCUGGGAUAGCGCGAGUGUCCGCGGCCGAGCAGCAGAGAUUUUUGCUGUGAGAAUUAAUUCUCAGUAACAGUUCAAUAUGGGGGACAUUCUGGCUCAUGAAUCUGAAUUACUUGGACUAGUGAAAGAGUAUUUAGAUUUUGCUGAAUUUGAAGACACCUUGAAAACAUUUUCAAAAGAAUGCAAAAUAAAAGGAAAACCAUUGUGUAAAACAGUAGGCGGAUCUUUCAGAGACUCCAAAUCAUUGACAAUUCAGAAGGAUCUUGUCGCUGCAUUUGACAACGGAGACCAGAAGGUGUUCUUCGAUCUGUGGGAGGAGCACGUUUCAAGUUCCGUCCGAGAUGGGGACUCCUUUGCCCGGAAGCUGGAAUUCUAUCUCCACAUCCAUUUUGCCAUCUAUCUUUUGAAGUACUCUGUGGGGAGACCGGUGGGUUUACCUGGUGAUGCGGGUGGGUCUGAGCGGUGUGUUAAGGAACAGUGUUUGCUGUCAUUGUCCACAUGGGCAUGGAUUUCAUAUGUGGCUGUGCUGUCAUAAUGCUUACAAGGUACAGGCAUCCUCUGUCCUGGUGAGUGAUUUUCUACUGUAUUCCCAGCAGUUUAUAUUCUAAUUUCUAUGGAGAUUUAAUAAUUUCUGUAAUCAAUGCUAUAUUCCUAAAUACCUCAAGUUUUUGAAACCUCAUCAAAAUAAAGUUUAUUUGGCAACUUA
RNAcentral lists this small RNA (724 nucleotides) under Pan troglodytes (chimpanzee). RNAcentral's name for it is "retained intron". The record is from RNAcentral. Lineage: Eukaryota; Metazoa; Chordata; Mammalia; Primates; Hominidae.